UACGGAAGGCAGCAGUGGGGAAUAUUGCACAAUGGGCGCAAGCCUGAUGCAGCCAUGCCGCGUGUAUGAAGAAGGCCUUCGGGUUGUAAAGUACUUUCAGCGGGGAGGAAGGCGGUGAAGUUAAUAGCUUCACCGAUUGACGUUACCCGCAGAAGAAGCACCGGCUAACUCCGUGCCAGCAGCCGCGGUAAUACGGAGGGUGCAAGCGUUAAUCGGAAUUACUGGGCGUAAAGCGCACGCAGGCGGUCUGUCAAGUCGGAUGUGAAAUCCCCGGGCUUAACCUGGGAACUGCAUUCGAAACUGGCAGGCUAGAGUCUUGUAGAGGGGGGUAGAAUUCCAGGUGUAGCGGUGAAAUGCGUAGAGAUCUGGAGGAAUACCGGUGGCGAAGGCGGCCCCUGGGACAAAGCUGACGCUCAGGUGCGAAAGCGUGGGGAGCGAAACAGGGAUUAGGAUACC
RNAcentral lists this ribosomal RNA (456 nucleotides) under uncultured bacterium. RNAcentral's name for it is "bacterial SSU rRNA". It matches the Rfam family "Bacterial small subunit ribosomal RNA", at positions 340 to 786 of the family's 1533-position model. The record is from RNAcentral.